Molecule: ribosomal RNA, 399 nt
Filed under: Staphylococcus haemolyticus
Lineage: Bacteria; Bacillati; Bacillota; Bacilli; Caryophanales; Staphylococcaceae
Description: partial 23S ribosomal RNA
Rfam family: Bacterial large subunit ribosomal RNA
Source: RNAcentral
CUAAAAGGUAACGGAGGCGCUCAAAGGUUCCCUCAGAAUGGUUGGAAAUCAUUCAUAGAGUGUAAAGGCAUAAGGGAGCUUGACUGCGAGACCUACAAGUCGAGCAGGGUCGAAAGACGGACUUAGUGAUCCGGUGGUUCCGCAUGGAAGGGCCAUCGCUCAACGGAUAAAAGCUACCCCGGGGAUAACAGGCUUAUCUCCCCCAAGAGUUCACAUCGACGGGGAGGUUUGGCACCUCGAUGUCGGCUCAUCGCAUCCUGGGGCUGUAGUCGGUCCCAAGGGUUGGGCUGUUCGCCCAUUAAAGCGGUACGCGAGCUGGGUUCAGAACGUCGUGAGACAGUUCGGUCCCUAUCCGUCGUGGGCGUAGGAAAUUUGAGAGGAGCUGUCCUUAGUACGAGA